GUGGGGAAUAUUGGACAAUGGGCGAAAGCCUGAUCCAGCCAUGCCGCGUGUGUGAAGAAGGUCUUCGGAUUGUAAAGCACUUUAAGUUGGGAGGAAGGGCAGUAAGUUAAUACCUUGCUGUUUUGACGUUACCGACAGAAUAAGCACCGGCUAACUUCGUGCCAGCAGCCGCGGUAAUACGAAGGGUGCAAGCGUUAAUCGGAAUUACUGGGCGUAAAGCGCGCGUAGGUGGUUUUGUAAGUUGGAGGUGAAAUACUCGGGCUCAACCUGAGAACUGCCUCCAAAACUGCAUGACUAGAGUACGGUAGAGGGUAUUGGAAUUUCCUGUGUAGCGGUGAAAUGCGUAGAUAUAGGAAGGAACACCAGUGGCGAAGGCGACUACCUGGACUGAUACUGACACUGAGGUGCGAAAGCGUGGGGAGCAAACAGGAUUAGAAACCCCAGUAGUCC
Molecule: ribosomal RNA, 450 nt
Filed under: uncultured bacterium
Lineage: Bacteria
Description: partial 16S ribosomal RNA
Rfam family: Bacterial small subunit ribosomal RNA
Source: RNAcentral